This 429-nucleotide ribosomal RNA is filed under the name Bacteroidota bacterium. RNAcentral's name for it is "Bacteroidetes bacterium partial 16S ribosomal RNA". It matches the Rfam family "Bacterial small subunit ribosomal RNA", at positions 355 to 776 of the family's 1533-position model. Lineage: Bacteria; Pseudomonadati; Bacteroidota. The record is from RNAcentral.
UAGGGAAUCUUCCGCAAUGGGCGAAAGCCUGACGGAGCAACGCCGCGUGAGUGAUGAAGGUCUUCGGAUCGUAAAACUCUGUUAUUAGGGAAGAAUAAAUGUGUAAGUAACUAUGCACGUCUUGACGGUACCUAAUCAGAAAGCCACGGCUAACUACGUGCCAGCAGCCGCGGUAAUACGUAGGUGGCAAGCGUUAUCCGGAAUUAUUGGGCGUAAAGCGCGCGUAGGCGGUUUUUUAAGUCUGAUGUGAAAGCCCACGGCUCAACCGUGGAGGGUCAUUGGAAACUGGAAAACUUGAGUGCAGAAGAGGAAAGUGGAAUUCCAUGUGUAGCGGUGAAAUGCGCAGAGAUAUGGAGGAACACCAGUGGCGAAGGCGACUUUCUGGUCUGUAACUGACGCUGAGAAGCGAAAGCGUGGGGAGCGAACAGG